Cloeon dipterum is the source of this 1595-nucleotide long non-coding RNA. RefSeq lists it as uncharacterized. NCBI's taxonomy places the organism in Eukaryota, Metazoa, Arthropoda, Insecta, Ephemeroptera, Baetidae. The transcript has 4 exons. The record is from RefSeq and is a predicted model, not a curated record.
CUGAAUUGAUGGAGAAGCAGCGGCAGGCGAGACAGGCGACCCUCAGCAAACAACUCAAGUGCGGGUGCCCUGACUCGACGUGAGCUGACGGCAAGACGUGUUCCCACCCCAUGCGACGCAUUUCAACAGCCAAGAGCGAGCACCCCCGGCUCCACCUCGUCCGUCUCGCAGGCCUCCAACGCCUCUGGGGUCAGCACCGGUGGUUCCAACUCCGGGGGCGGCCGGCAGGAGCAGCAACAAAACCAACAGGCGCUCAGCAUGUCCACCGUCAACGACAACAACAAUCAGGCCUUCUGUGUCAGGUGUCGUCAACGACCGGUUCGAGCGGCAUGAUCCUUCCCACCUCAUUGCACAGUCUGCAGAGAAUGUGGAACAGCACACGCGCCAUCGAUACGAUGCCAACAACACCGCCUUCCUGGUGCUCAGCCUCAUCCAGAUACAAGGCGGUGGCGGCCUGCUCAUUCUAAACAACUCCUCCUCCGGCUCUUCGGGCAAUUCCCAAGGGGACCAGUUGGCGCUGUGUCAGUGCGACCUCGUUUUUCUGCAACUAGAACAGCCUGCCUGGUCCGCUCAAAUGGCAUCAAGCAGAAGGGCAACAAGGGCCUCUCGUCCUGACGCAAUGGAAACGUCAUGUUGCCACGAGCUAGACAAUCUGAAGAUGGGCGUUGCCUCUUCCAUGUAACUUUCCAACUACCUAGAGCUGUCCAAGUCAGUGACGCCAAAGCCUUUGGACACAAGCAGCAAACAGCACCUCGACCAGCUCUCCAGACCAGGAGAGCUACCACUCCAAGGUGGGCGAUGGCACCAGAGUCAGCAGCUUCUUCAACGAGACGCUUGACCUCUCGCAAGACUCUUUCUGCCUACAUGCCGCCUUCCUGCUCCACUGAUCACAUUGCAUCAGUCGUUGGAAAGGCCCCUUUAUUCCAGGCGCCACGCCAACGUGCUGACUGACUCGAUGGUCGAGCUGCGGUUGUGAAUCUCUACGCGUUCGACAUGCUGGGCGACUUCCCUGAGCUGGAGAGUCUGGACUCAGGGGGCCUGGUGCACCACCAACUCUCCACCCAGCUCCAUCCCAAUUUUGGUGGCCAGUCCCUGAGUCACAGCAUGGGUCCAGUGUCGGUGCACACGUCAGGGCCGAGUCCCAUCGACCCUUCUACCCCUGGGUCCGCAGACAAGAGCAGCCAGCAGUCUUCUUCCAGGAUGGACUACAGAGAGGGCACUGCAAACACCACUGAAAUGUUUAAACUAACCUAAAUAAUAAAAUACUAUGCAUGAAAUGCUAACAAGUUGAAAAAAUUGUAAAUAAGAAAUAAAUUUAAAAUAAAACAAUGAUUUGCUGUGGGCUGUAAGAGUCUGUCGCAGUUGCAGCCGUUCAUUUCCCCUAAUUAUUAGUUGAUUUUAAUUUGAAGCUGUACUCUAGGGUCAACAUCUUCUGAAUCCGAAUGCUUGCAAAGUGAUGAGCCAGAAAACUUUAGCCACCUUGGCGAAAAAUAUCAGAAGUGUAUCCGAGGACAGCAUUGUUGAGUUUUAUACGAGCAAUAAAUUAGUUAUAGCUUUUGUUGUUUAAAUAAAAAUUUAAUGCUUUAUUGCAUAUA